CCUACGGGAGGCAGCAGUAGGGAAUAUUGCUCAAUGGGGGAAACCCUGAAGCAGCAACGCCGCGUGGAGGAUGAAGGUCUUCGGAUUGUAAACUCCUUUUGUUAGAGAAGAUAAUUACGGUAUCUAACGAAUAAGCACCGGCUAACUCCGUGCCAGCAGCCGCGGUAAUACGGAGGGUGCAAGCGUUACUCGGAAUCACUGGGCGUAAAGAGCGCGUAGGCGGGAUAGCAAGUCAGAUGUGAAAUCCUAUGGCUUAACCAUAGAACUGCAUUUGAAACUGUUAUUCUAGAGUAUGGGAGAGGUAGGUGGAAUUCUUGGUGUAGGGGUAAAAUGCGUAGAGAUCAAGAGGAAUACUCAUUGCGAAGGCGACCUGCUAGAACAUAACUGACGCUGAUGCGCGAAAGCGUGGGGAGCAAACAGGAUUAGAUACCCGAGUAGUC
Molecule: ribosomal RNA, 440 nt
Filed under: uncultured bacterium
Lineage: Bacteria
Description: partial 16S ribosomal RNA
Rfam family: Bacterial small subunit ribosomal RNA
Source: RNAcentral